This 465-nucleotide ribosomal RNA is filed under the name uncultured bacterium. RNAcentral describes it as "partial 16S ribosomal RNA". It matches the Rfam family "Bacterial small subunit ribosomal RNA", at positions 28 to 507 of the family's 1533-position model. The record is from RNAcentral.
GAUGAACGCUGGCGGCGUGCUUAACACAUGCAAGUCGAGCGGAAAGGCUCCUGCUUGCCUGGGUUCUCGAUUGGCGAACGGGUGAGUAACACGUGUGUGAUCUGUCCCGCACUUCGGGAUAAGCCUGGGAAACUGGGUCUCAUACCGGAUAUGACCACAUUUUGCAUGGUGUGGUAGAAAGUUGUGCGGUGUUGGUUUCGCUCGCGGCCUAUUAGCUUGUUGGUGGGGUAAUGGCUUACCAAGGCGUAGACGGGUAGCAGGCCUGAGAGGGUGGACGGCCACAUUGGGACUGAGAUACGGCCCAGACUCCUACGGGAGGCAGCAGUGGGGAAUAUUACACAAUGGGCGCAAGCCUGAUGCAGAGACGCCGCGUGGGGGAUGACGGCCUUCGGGUUGUAAACUCCUUUCGCUAGGGACGAAGAGCAAGUGACGGUACCUGGAGAAGAAGCACCGGCUAACUACGUG